AUAAGUUUAAAACCCGAGGGAUCCAUCCGACCACCUGAGGGCACUGCUCGACCUGCAGAGAGCUCUGUUCGGCGGCCUUUGAAGACUGCUGAUUGUGCAGGGCUGCUGCUGCCAGUGCUUCCCCAUCAGCUGACAGUUCUUUGAGGAAUGGUAGUUAAUAUGCAGUUUUAAUUGCAAAGGAAAAUAACGUCACCCACUUGGCUUUGGUAUGGCUUCAGGGUGUCAUGACUGAUGAAAUCAACGUUUGUCAAACGAAGGGCGUUAAACACAUGGAAAGCAAGGCAGUUUCUGCUCUGAGCACAUACAGGGCAGGUGUUUCAGGCAUCUGCUGGCCAUGGGGGCUGGGAGGCAAUUCCUCUUUGUAUCUGCAAGCCCAACAUUGCUUCAUGGCCCUGGAAUGCUUGCUGGUGCUGAUCCUGUCCUCCAGUCUGCCCUGAAAGGGGCUCUUGUGGCUUCUGCUCUGUGCAUCCCCUAUAGACCUUGUGCAAGGGUGCAGCUUAACUGCUGAGUCAAAUUGCUGCUGCUGGGGAGCUUUUCACUUGGUCAUCUCAUUCCCAGGAAAGUGAGAAAUGGGCUCCUCCUCUGACUGCUUCAGCUUAAGAUAAAGCAGAUGAUGCAGUGAAGAUACUGGUUUGGCAGAUUAGCCAAGAAUGAAGUUUAUUUAGCUAAUGGUUGUGUAGCAGUCUCGAUGCAGCUGCUUCUGCGUGCAAAGUAUUUCUCAUCCUCGAGCAGCUCUGUCUCACCAUGACCUGUCACUGACUCGUUUUGUCAGUGUGCUUCUGGUGCAGGAGGUUACAUCACAGUGUUGUUUCAGAAUAAGGCAUCUAUUUUCCUGUGCACAGCACAGUGCAAAAUUUCAUCUGAUUUCCAAAACUUUGCUUCUAGCCCACAAACUCCUCUCUCAGCUCCAGAUAUGCACCUUCUACCUUUGGGUUGUUUAAAUUCAAACAUCCCCAGUAGUUAGGUUCUGGCCAGUGAAGUACCUUAGGUGAACUUUAUUAGCUCUCACCUGCUCUGAGUGUUCAGCCCAUGCACCUUCCCUAGGGGCAUAACUGAGUUCUGAUUUGAAGGAAAGGAUGAGUGUCUGCUGUGGGAUGACAGAGGCUGCAGUAGAUUUACUUGGAUUACCUCCUAGCUCUUUUGUGACAGCUGACUGCUGGUGUCUGGAGAGACUGUCGCUCUAAAUCCAUCUGACAAACAAGGUUGUAUGUUGGGAUACAGCAAGGAACAAAGAUAAUAGCAAGCUCUCUCAUCCAUCUACCUGUCCCUUUUCUGAUAGCUAAGAGCCUGUGGCAGAAGUGAAGAUGUAUUGCUUGUGUUUGGAGUGUGCUGCCAAGCUGUUUGAUUUGCAGCUUUAUAGGAAGCAUUUUGAUGGGAGGGAAGAGACUUCAGUUUUCAUGUCUGUUGACAUUCCUUCAGUGUGAGCUGCUGCAUUUUUCUGCUUGCUUCUGCUUACUGCCUGACUCCACAUGCAGCUGGCUGGUGUGUGCUGUAAUUGUCACCACUCUCGAUAGUCUGUCUUUGGUUUGCUGUCUGAGGGUGCUCUGAGCUUAUGAUUGCUUCCCAUGCACAUCUUGAGUCUCUCAGUGACACAAGAAUGGGCCAAAAUGUUCUGACCUCUCAACAAAGGUGUGCCUGAGUCUUUGUCACUGUCACUUCUGAAGCACAGUGACACACUCUGAACUUAGUCCCUUUGCCACAGCUUGAGCUAAAUGCUGAGCUGUUAUGCUUCAGCGUAGAGAGGAUACGAGAAGCCUCUCUGCUACAAAAUGGCAGUGGAAAGCCAGAGGGGAGGGCAGACGACCUGAUAGGGAACAGCUGUAUCGUCUUAUGCUCAUCACAUACAGCACAAAGUGAGUAAAGACAGAUGACUGUGAGGUGUUUCUUAGGGUACCAUCUUUGCUUGGCCUUGAGGUUUCAUCUUACCAUUAGAAAACAGUAAAUCACUGUGUUUGUGGCUGCAAAAUUGUGUUUACAUGUGCACACACUGUACAGCCCUUCAGUACUCCUCUGGCAGCCUGUCUUACAGCUGCAUAAGGAACAAAUGGAUUUAAGUUUUGGAAGGCCUUCAGAACAGUGCAGUGGUGGCCUUUCUGCCUCUCCUGGAAGUCUGGCUCUCUAUUAUCUGUCUUUUGGGUUAAUGACAGUGCUGUGGGAGUGCUGAGAGGGGUUUCUGAGCUGAAGGAAGCCGUGAUCCGACUCUGACUCUCACUGGAAUGGGGUGAAGGAAGCACACGUUGAAGUUUUGGUGCAAUUAAUUACCAAGAAUGGUGUAUGGCUGAUAGGCCAUGUCAUCAGUUGCAUUUGUCUGCUGUCUUCUGGAAGGACACAAAUGAACCUCUGCAUCAGAGGGCUCUAAUUGGAUACAACUGCGGGUUUUGUUCGGCUUCAAGGUCUGUAUGUUGCAGCUCAGGAAGGCUGCCAAGAUCCCCCAGUUGUUAACAAGAAUGUCAUUCCUUGUAGAUGCGAGACUCCCUUCAGCCUGUGUUUGCUGGAGAAUCUGCAGAUUCAAAGCAUCCCACCAUGAAGACAAUCAGCCUCCAUGGGCUGAACUUCAGAGCACUCAGGCGAGAAGGCCACUCCACCUCUUUCCAUCCCUGGGAGUCUGCACUGCUGAGCCAGAUACCUGCAGCCAGGCAGACUGGAUGCCGUUGUUUCAGUGCUGCCCCAGCUUGCAGCUCCAGGAAGCAGGGACACCAGGUAGGUGUGUGGGGAUGGGGGCUCCAGCCCAGAAAGGUCAGGAGGUAACAGCAGCACCAAAGGCAUUGCUCGCUCUGAGACUAACUGAUAUAACACACCUAGCCAUAAAAAUAACUCUGAGUGCCUUUAUUUUUAGAACAGAGCUCUUAAAGUGUUCUUGCAUGAAGACCUGUCUCUUAGGAAUGCAAUAAAACAAAGUUAGCAGCUGGAGCUACCUUGUUAAAGUGAAGUUUUCAGGAAACACAGAGCUCAUGCUUUGAUUUUCAGCUCUACCUCCUACUAACUUAAUUUGAAAAUAGUUAUUCUUCACUUAUGGGGAAAGCACAAACUAAGAUCAGUUACUAAAUUUAAACACCCACAAGCAUUUAUAGGGAGCGUCUGACUUCUAUCUGGUUGGUUUGUUUUUUCACGUAGGGUGAAAGUUAGCUUCUGUACGCAGUUCUGCUUUGGAAAUGAGACCGUCUAUGGGUAAUUUUAUCUUAGACACUUUUAUGUCACCCCAUUCUCCCACUCUACAGUAGAGUAUAGGUGUGCUUUCUGACCCCUCUGCCAUCGUAUUGAAAGCAUACAUGUUCUUAUACACCGUAUCCCUUCCAACUCUCCAGGCAGUGGCAGCAUCUCAUGCAUGUGGAUAUAUACCACUGUCCCAACAUCUUUGUCCACCUGGAAGCAGAAUCCAUGGAUUUGGAGAGUCAGAUUCAGAACUCCAGGCUUAGCAACAGAAGCUUUCCUUGAGCAUAAGCUCAUGGAUUAUCAGGCAGAUUUCAGAAUCAAAUUACCAUAACAAGGAAAAAAAAAAAAAGAUAUAGAAUUUGGCACCCGAAUUUAAGUUUGAUUUUAGCUGGGGGCAGAAAUACGUGACAAAAAGCCUUGUGAGUCAUUUAAUAAACCAAGCAUGAGUUUCACAAGCCCCUGCGGUUUCCAUGCUUAUUCUUUGAGACUUUCAUCUUGGCCUGGAGCAGCACUCCUUUGUGACUUUGCAGGGCCCCAGAGCCUGCUCGAGUGCUUAUCCACUCAGAAAUAAAACAAACAUUCUCCCAUCUACAUUAAUUGAAUGUUCAGCUCUCAUUCCUAGCACUUGGCUGUCUACGCUUUAAUGUUUCUCGAGUGCUCUUGACUUUAUCACAGCAUUUGCCCUGUUGAGCUGCUGGUGAGCUCCAAGGGGAACAAAAUCUGCUAAUCCUAUAGACGUGAGUUGAAUGGGAACGCAUCUGGCUACAAAGCAAGGAAGUGCUUUCCUGUGGUGAGGAAGUGCUCAGCUCAGGGCCCAUUGUCUGGCUUUGCAAAGAUGGGCACAGAAAUCUCUUUGGUCGGUUCUUUGCCUCUGUGCUCCAUCCCCUGAUGCUGCACCCUGCCCUCUCUGCUUAGCAGACCCUCUGCAGCAGUCGACAGAGUGCAGACUGCUCUCAUCUCUCCCACCUUAUCUGCCAUUCCUGUGUAGGUUUUACUUCAAUCCUCCCUUCCUGCUUUUCCCCUCAACCCUUUCUCUCCUCCUCCCUCUUUCUGUGGAAACAAAUGUACAGUAGGUGUCUCUUGAACUUGCCUGAACUCCUUGUCCCAAGCACCUUCCUGACUAAUCCUUUCCAGAUGUCCAGGAACUUUUAUGUUUAGCAGCUCUGCUCGAGUUCCUCAUUCAUUCUCAGAUGGAGCAAACCUUCUAUUUCCUAAAAUUAUUUGAAAAAUAGGGCUGAUCUUGGCCUUCUGUGAAACAACCUCAAAGUAUGGCAUUAUGAGCACCACUGCAGCCCCCUGCACCCAAACUGGAGCACGGAGCUGACACAGGAUGGCUCCCGGUCCUUUUUCCUGCAGUCCAGACAGUCUCUGGGCCACCUGGGGAAGGAGAAAAAAGAAUAUCAAGCCGCUGAAAUGACAAAGAAGUUUAAGCAGAGAUGAAGAGAAAGCAGAAAUUUGGGGACCGGCCCGUCAGGACUUGUUCAGGCCUCACUGAUUUGCAGUCUGAAGCAGCGACACGGAUCUGCAGCGUAUCCUGAGCCUCAUUUCUCAACCUUUGAGGGUUAUUUAAGGGAUCUCUGGUCCCCGGUGAGGCUGAGUCAGAAAAGCCAUCUCUGCACAGACAGGAGGGGGAUUAAGUCGGGUCCUGCUUCCCCUUUUAAGCUGCAGGAGAUACCAGCGAGGCCGUUCCCAUGGGACAGAGAUUAUCUCAUUGCUUUUGCUGGAAACGUCUGAGGGAUGCAGCGCAGGGAGAUGAUGGAUGGCUGUGAAACAUGAAGCGUGGAUCCAAGGGAUGGCUCUGCACACGCUUUACAUUUGCUUAAGCCAGAGAAGGACGUGGAUAUGCCGACUACCUGAUAAAGGUCUUUAAUCCUACAGUUGGACUUUCUGUGGGGUUGCAGGGAGCUUUGCUCCUUAUCUAUCCCGGAAUGUUACUGAUGUCGUGGACUCCAGCAAAGGUGAAUGUCCCAAUUUCAGGUCAAGUUGAUGCUGAUAGGGGUGCAGCUGUGGGAUCUGAAACGGAUUAAGGCCGGCUAUAUGAAUUUCAUAAAUAGUAAUACUAAACCAGUGCACACCUUAGGCUGAUAUUAAACAGGGGAUGAGUUGGUAUUCAUCCUUAAUAGCGAAUGCAUUAUAAUGAAAUGGAAACAUCAGGUUUUACUUACAAAGCCCAGGUUUCCCAUAGGAGGCGGUUUAUGGAGUGACCAUUUAUUAAAGACAAAUGCUAUCAUUCGAAACAUAUCUCAUGUAGAGAGGGGGACGGGCUGAUUCGGAGGAGCGGUAAUGAGAGCCGGAGCUUUGCAUUUACAAGGCAUUGAUGGAAGCAGGCUGAGCAUCAAGGCAAGGUGCACUGUCCCCCUGAGCCUCAGCAGCACUGCGAGGUGCUGAGCGCUGAGCCCCGACCCCAAAACCGAAUGGUAACACAUAUCGAGCAGCAGGCAGAAAGCAAAGCCGGUUCUCUCGAGUCAGAGCAGUCAUGUGCUUAAAAUAAGUCCAUCUUGGAGAGGAGCCAUCACCUCAGCAGGGCUCUGGGGGCUGAGCAGGGCUGGGGUGCUAAGCUCUGCUCUCUGCACUGGAAAUCCCCAGAAAUACGAGCUGGCUGCUGCUGAAUGGCUCCGGGUCUGCGUGAUGCUGUCUGAAGGAGCAGGCAAGAGAGCGCCAGGGGUUGUGCUCCAUCCUGUCGUUGCCACGUGGGUGGGUAACUGCGUCCUCAGGUUUUGCUUGUUUCAUCUUUGUGGUUUUGUCAUUCAUUGGGAAUUUCCAGCUCACGGCUGCCCUACGUACACACAGUUCACAGCUCUGGUGCGCUCUGAAGCACUAUGAUUCAUUCAAGUGGAAGGAGAAUGCGCAGAGCACCCUCAGGCCUGAGCCCAGGAGGGCAGUGCUGAUGGUAGCAGAGGGCACAGUGCCUCUUCUGCACACUCAGAGGCUUCUGUGACCUGAGGAGCGUACACAAAAAGGAAGGGAGAUCCCCCAUGUUUUAAUGUGCUCCUGCUGAGGGAUGCCAAUGUCAGCACCCACAGCCACAGCCCUUCCAAAGCCACAUGGCUUCCCUUUCACUUCAUGAGUUAGUGAUUUGGAAUUGCAGGGCAAAUGUUAAAUGUUAACAACUGCUGGUAAAGUCACAUCUGCAGAUCGUUUUGCUGUUCACCUGGAAAGAAACAGCUCUCAUUCAAUUAAUCAAAGAAGUAUAUGGUGGCUUUCUGGAUAGAUGCUGGCACCCUGACAGGACGAUGCUGUUCGUUCUUUGGGAUUGAAUCAGAAAUCCAGGAUGAGGACAUCAUUUGGAGGAAGUGGCAGGUAAAAUUGCAUGCUUUCUAGAAGCAUAGAUUUGGUUUGUUGCGUGUAGGAAGACUUUCUGGCUCAUUGUAGUAUGACAUUUGCAACCAUUUAAUUUGAAUAAAUUCCAUUUUUAUGUUCCAUCCGGCUUUUAAUAUGUCAGCCAAACCAUCCGUAAGGGACAGAAUGUAAAUCCUGCCUGCUCUCCCUUCUGUGCUAUCAUCAGGGAUCGAUCAUGCUAAUGCUGCUUGUUCCUUGGGCUUCCAGAGCUCCCAGAGGUCAGCGGCUCCAUUUGGGAAGGCCUGGGAGAAGCUUCAGGUUCCUUCAGGAUGGAGAGGUUGGGAGCUCUGUCUCUGUUCAUCGUGCUGUGCGUAGGAUGGGUAACCAUGGACCAGGUUAAGUGCAGAACGAGCAUGGCUUGUGGCUGCAAAGGGAGAAACGUGGCCUGAAGUGGCUGCUAUAGGGACAGUGGGCAAGAGCAAAGAAGUCCUGAGCAGGGUCUGACUCCUGAAGAAGAAAGCAAGCAACCAAAUGUGUACCCCCUGCCAGCCCUGGGGAGGUGGCUGUGCCAGCAGCAGGGUGCUGCCGUGCAUCUGUCCCAUUUGCUGGCCUGUGCCAUCAGGAGGUGAGGUGCAGACCAGCAACAGUGAGCGGCCGGCUUUGCUGCCGUGCCACAAACCAGCUGCAAUCAGCUCCAGUGCGAGCCAGUCCCAUUGCAGAGCUGCUUGGCUAAAAUUAGAAAUGCAAUUGAGAUCAGGCUAGAAAAUGGAUUGCUUUUUUUCAUAAAGCAAAGCAGGUGCCAAGCACCUGUGUGGAAAUGCACGGCUGUUUAGUGCUUCGCCUCCAUCCAGUGCUGGAGAGACAGCAGAGCAGGUCCUGGGGGCAAAGGUGAGGGGGGUUCUGGUAUGCUCAGCAGUCAUUGCCUGGCAUCUCUUAGUGAGAGCAUGGAAUUCUCUGUGUGUUACAGGUGGCAUGUCUGUAUGCAUGUCUGUAUGCAAUGCAGCUGGGGGAGAACACCCAUCCACUCUGAGCCUGCUGCCCCAGCAUGGUGGGGAAUAGGCAACAGUUCCCAGAAGGGCAAAUUGUAACUACUGAGAGACCUCCUUGAUGCGUUAUCCUCACAUCUGGCAGGGAGAACAGAGGGGCAAGGGAAAUGCAUUGCCUGUCUGCCUCUGCAGCUCAGACAGGCUGGUGACAGCUCCGCAAUGUAAAUGAUGCGCUUUAAGCCCUAAAUAAAGUGUGAGGAACGUGUUUGGGAUCAGUAAAUCCAUCCUGACAAAAAGAAGCAAAGGAAUGAAAUCCCUUUUGCCAAACAGACUGGUAAGUCCAGGGACUAAAUGGAAUCUAGUCCCACUGAAAAAUGGCUUCUGGAGAUGGAUGGCUGCGAUCUCUCUGCUCUCAUCAGUGGCAUUUACCAGGCUAAGGGAGCAGGGAGGCUUUGGAAAGGGUGAGGCUGGGGAAUGGGGUCACAUUCCCCUCCUCAAAAUGCUGAGUUCAUUGCGUUUAUAACAGUGUUCCCCCAGCAGCAUUAAUCACCUGCGAGGGGUGGCUGCAGCCAAACAUCCCUGCUGGCCUUCAGCAGACUGGGGCCUUCCUUCUGCUUGUAAGUGGUAGACUUAAGAUAAGCCCAGCGCCUCUUAAAUACGCCUGCCUCUGAAUAAACAAAGCAGUAUGAUGUGUUACAGGCUGUACUGCUGCAAACUGUCCAGCUGAGGAGCAGGAGGGGACUCAGUGCAUUUUGUUGGUGCUGGAAAGUCACCUGUCUGCAGAGGAGGGCAGGCUGCAGGGCCACCAGCCAGCUUGCUCAGACAGCAUGGAAAGCCUCAAGGCAAUAACAGAAGGCAAACAGCAUUGGAUAAGUGCAGGGGGCAGCCCAGAGCGAGUGUGAGCUGAGCACAGGUCUGGCACUGCACAGCUCAGGGUCUGCUCCCAAGGAAGGACAGCAGCCCUGGGCUCGGUGGAAACCUGAUGCUAUGCUGCUUGCGUGAGCUCUGUGCUGCCCAUUUCCCAGCAGGUUUCUGUGCCCACUCCCUCUGCUGAGCCACCUUUCCCAGGAGAUUCCUAUCUUGCAGGAAAGCUCUUCAAACAAGCCAAGCAUCUGGACAAGGCCUGUGGGCAACUGCUGCCUGGCAGCUCAGGGGAGAAUCAGCAGCUGUCCUCCCACAUGUGAAAGAAAGCAUUGGUGAUGAGGCUGAGCAUCACAUCUGAAUCAGCCCAUCCACCCCUCCUCUGAAAGAUGCUCCAAGCUGCUCUGGUGCCAAAGAGCAAGCCUGGAGAGCAUUUGGGUGAGAAAUCAGUAAUGCUGAUAAGGCAGAAUUGCCUGCAAACAGGGCGCAGCCAGGCAGACAUAGGCAGGGGACUGGGAGAGCAGGAG
This 8806-nucleotide long non-coding RNA is filed under the name Gallus gallus (chicken). RNAcentral describes it as "lncRNA (ENSGALG00010018190.1)". The record is from RNAcentral. Lineage: Eukaryota; Metazoa; Chordata; Aves; Galliformes; Phasianidae.